GAUGAACGCUGGCGGCGUGCCUAAUACAUGCAAGUCGAGCGAACAGACGAGGAGCUUGCUCCUCUGACGUUAGCGGCGGACGGGUGAGUAACACGUGGAUAACCUACCUAUAAGACUGGGAUAACUUCGGGAAACCGGAGCUAAUACCGGAUAAUAUAUUGAACCGCAUGGUUCAAUAGUGAAAGACGGUUUUGCUGUCACUUAUAGAUGGAUCCGCGCCGCAUUAGCUAGUUGGUAAGGUAACGGCUUACCAAGGCAACGAUGCGUAGCCGACCUGAGAGGGUGAUCGCCCACACUGAAACGGAGACCCGUCCCAGACCCCUAGGGAGGGAGGCAGAGGGAAUUCGUCCCGAGUGGGCAAAGGCUGAACGAGCCACGGCCGCGUAGUUGUAGAAGGUCUCCGUAUCUAAAACUCUGUUAUUAGGGAAGAACAAAUGUGUAAGUAACUAUGCACGUCUUGACGGUACCUAAGCAGAAAGCCACGGCUAACUACGU
Molecule: ribosomal RNA, 495 nt
Filed under: uncultured bacterium
Lineage: Bacteria
Description: partial 16S ribosomal RNA
Rfam family: Bacterial small subunit ribosomal RNA
Source: RNAcentral